UGGGGAAUUUUGCGCAAUGGGCGAAAGCCUGACGCAGCAACGCCGCGUGGAGGAUGAAGGUCCUUGGAUUGUAAACUCCUGUCAGCAGGGAAAAAGCGACCUGACCUCAUACGUCAGGGAGUUGAUUGUACCUGCAGAGGAAGCCCCGGCUAACUCUGUGCCAGCAGCCGCGGUAAUACAGAGGGGGCAAGCGUUAUUCGGAAUUAUUGGGCGUAAAGGGCGCGUAGGCGGCCAGGCAAGUGGAAGGUGAAAUCCCUCGGCUUAACCGAGGAACUGCCCUCCAAACUGCUUGGCUUGAGACCGGGAGAGGUGAGUGGAAUUCCCAGUGUAGCGGUGAAAUGCGUAGAUAUUGGGAGGAACACCAGUGGCGAAGGCGGCUCACUGGACCGGUACUGACGCUGAGGCGCGAAAGCGUGGGGAGCAAACGG
RNAcentral lists this ribosomal RNA (428 nucleotides) under uncultured bacterium. RNAcentral's name for it is "bacterial SSU rRNA". It matches the Rfam family "Bacterial small subunit ribosomal RNA", at positions 355 to 775 of the family's 1533-position model. The record is from RNAcentral.